GGGGAAUCUUGCGCAAUGGGCGAAAGCCUGACGCAGCAACGCCGCGUGAACGACGAAGGCCUUCGGGUCGUAAAGUUCUGUCAGGGGGGACGAAUAGGUGACGGUACCCCCGGAGGAAGCCCCGGCUAACUACGUGCCAGCAGCCGCGGUAACACGUAGGGGGCGAGCGUUGUCCGGAAUUACUGGGCGUAAAGGGCGUGUAGGCGGCCUGUCAAGUCAGGUGUGAAAAACCGGGGCUCAACCCUGGUCGUGCACUUGAAACUGGCGGGCUUGAGUGCAGGAGAGGAAAGUGGAAUUCCCAGUGUAGCGGUGAAAUGCGUAGAUAUUGGGAGGAACACCAGUGGCGAAGGCGACUUUCUGGCCUGUAACUGACGCUGAGGCGCGAAAGCUAGGGGAGCAAAC
RNAcentral lists this ribosomal RNA (402 nucleotides) under uncultured bacterium. RNAcentral's name for it is "bacterial SSU rRNA". It matches the Rfam family "Bacterial small subunit ribosomal RNA", at positions 356 to 773 of the family's 1533-position model. The record is from RNAcentral.